This is a long non-coding RNA of Melanotaenia boesemani (Boeseman's rainbowfish), 720 nucleotides long. RefSeq lists it as uncharacterized. The transcript is spliced from 2 exons. Lineage: Eukaryota; Metazoa; Chordata; Actinopteri; Atheriniformes; Melanotaeniidae. The record is from RefSeq and is a predicted model, not a curated record.
GGUAACGAACAACCUCCUGCUUCCAAUUGCUAUCUGCACAAACAGAAUGUCCAAGAAAUAGUCUAUUUUAGCCAAGAAAUAGUCUAUUUUCCUCUAUAAAUCCAAAAUGUCAUUUUUCCUUUUUGACAUGUACAAACAAGAUUUGAUGCAUUACUUAUUGAGACUGUUCUAUUUAUUGUUUCCAUUCUUUGUCCUAAGUACUGGCAACCAACUAGUUGAUGAAUGUGUCUUCAUAUUUACUGCACUGACAUGAGAGAGGGAGACUGAUAUUAAUCUUGUCAUCCAACUCCCAAUCAGGAAGCACUUACUUCCCUAAAUAUCACACAAAUUCCUUUAAGCCUCUUCCGUUGUCACAUCUGUUAACUUAUAAGUUGUUGUGCUAUAGUUGCCUGAUCUCCAAAUAUAUAUGUGUAAAGCUAGAAUAUAUUUAUAUUUUUUGCUUCUUUGUAAGCCUCUGGACACAUUAUCGUUAUCUUGUCUCCACAAGCCCAACUGUAGCUGCUGUGACAGACUGAAGGCCAACAUCUCCCCUGAUUUUAGAAUUGGACUAGACAAGGCUGCACCAAAAUUGAACCAGAUGGAUUUUACAGGGAAACAAAGAAUAAUUUGUUCACAUGACUGGAAGACAACAACAAAUUUAUUACGGUAUUUCCCUGCAGAGUAGUAGCUCAUUACUAAUUAAGUACUGGUGCAGUAAAAGUAAACUAAGAUAAAAAAAAA